RNAcentral lists this long non-coding RNA (444 nucleotides) under Capra hircus (goat). RNAcentral's name for it is "lncRNA (ENSCHIG00010019887.1)". The record is from RNAcentral. Lineage: Eukaryota; Metazoa; Chordata; Mammalia; Artiodactyla; Bovidae.
CGCGAGGGGGAUUCGGGCACGUCCACCUCCACCGCCUCACCCUGUCGGCCCCUGAAGGUCGCCUCGACAGCCGCGCCCCCGAAGAAGCCGCGUCCUCUCCCCGGUCCUGGGAUUCUGGAGAGCCCGCCCCGCCCGAAACCUCCCUGGCUCCCAGCCUCUCUGCCCUCGUCUUCUUAGGCCGGUCGUUCUGCCCCGCAGGCCUCCCUUCCUGAUCAACUUCUAAAAACUUACAUUGUCUGAGGAAGAAGCUGGUAAGAGGAGGAAAAAAGGAAAGAAAAGAGGAAUGGCUCUUUCCCAGGUAAAAUCGUAUUCCUAGUUGAUUCUCAGUCCUUCCUGAAAUCCCUUCUUUGGACUUACUAAUCACCUCUGACUCUGAAGUAUCCUUCCUGAGGCCUGUACAUGCACACUCACCAGGGAACUUCCCUCAGGGCCUGUCGUCUCCAC